GAUGAACGCUAGCUACAGGCUUAACACAUGCAAGUCGAGCGGGGUGAUGGUGCUUGCACCAUCACUUAGCGGCGGACGGGUGAGUAAUGCUUAGGAAUCUGCCUAUUAGUGGGGGACAACAUCUCGAAAGGGAUGCUAAUACCGCAUACGUCCUACGGGGGAAAGCAGGGGAUCACUUGUGACCUUGCGCUAAUAGAUGAGCCUAAGUCGGAUUAGCUAGUUGGUGGGGUAAAGGCCUACCAAGGCGACGAUCUGUAGCGGGUCUGAGAGGAUGAUCCGCCACAAUGGAACUGAGACACGGCCCAGACUCCUACGGGAGGCAGCAGUGGGGAAUAUUGGACAAUGGGGGGAACCCUGAUCCAGCCAUGCCGCGUGUGUGAAGAAGGCCUUAUGGUUGUAAAGCACUUUAAGCGAGGAGGAGGCUCUUUUGGUUAAUACCCAGAAUGAGUGGACGUUACUCGCAGAAUAAGCACCGGCUAACUCUGUGCCAGCCGCCGCGGUAA
RNAcentral lists this ribosomal RNA (503 nucleotides) under uncultured bacterium. RNAcentral describes it as "partial 16S ribosomal RNA". It matches the Rfam family "Bacterial small subunit ribosomal RNA", at positions 28 to 523 of the family's 1533-position model. The record is from RNAcentral.